RNAcentral lists this long non-coding RNA (638 nucleotides) under Dasypus novemcinctus (nine-banded armadillo). Its description in RNAcentral is "lncRNA (ENSDNOG00000052336.1)". Lineage: Eukaryota; Metazoa; Chordata; Mammalia; Cingulata; Dasypodidae. The record is from RNAcentral.
UGGGAAGCGCGGGCGCGCGGGCGCGCGGGCGGGCCGAGCUUACACGCCCGGGAAGCGGCCGCAUCUCGCGCUUCCCGCUGGGCGCCUGGGGGGCGGUGAGGCCGGUUGCGCAGUCCCGAGGGAGGCAGCCGCGGGAGAGGAACAGCAAAUGACCGAGCAGAGGGACGGCUGGCCCAGCCAAUCCUGCAGCCGCUGCAGCACUUGUUGUUCCCCAAACACAGGCAUUCAGGUGCAAGCACAGAGAGGAGGGGGCUGCCGGCCCACAUCCCCUCCCCCACCGUGGCCCCCUUGCUGUUCUCCUUGGAAGGGCAGCCCUGCCUGGGACUGGGUGGGCAGAGGCUGCCGCCCCUCCUUGCUGCCCCGCGUGGGAAGAAGAAUGCAGAGCCAGCUGGAAGGGAGGAGGCUGGCAGUGAGAGGAGGGAGCAGACGACCCAGAAUAGCAAAGAAGACAGAAGUCUGCACACCCAGAGCUGCUUUUAGCUGGUAAUGGUAAGCCUGGCUCCAGGACUUUUUCUUCACACCUCCCCCCAUACACAUUUUCUCUUUGUCGUCCUCAGAAGCCCUCUCAAAAUACCUUUUCAUUUGCAGAGCUUGAGGCGGCCCCAUACUAAAUGGGCUUAUUAAAGCCAAUGCCGAGA